Molecule: ribosomal RNA, 253 nt
Filed under: uncultured bacterium
Lineage: Bacteria
Description: partial 16S ribosomal RNA
Rfam family: Bacterial small subunit ribosomal RNA
Source: RNAcentral
UACGUAGGGUGCAAGCGUUGUCCGGAAUUAUUGGGCGUAAAGAGCUCGUAGGCGGUUUGUCGCGUCUGCUGUGAAAACUCGGGGCUUAACCCCGGGCCUGCAGUGGGUAUGGGCAGACUAGAGUGCGGUAGGGGAGACUGGAAUUCCUGGUGUAGCGGUGAAAUGCGCAGAUAUCAAGAGGAACACCUGAGGUGAAGACGGGUUGCUGGGCUGACACUGACGCUGAGGCGCGAAAGCCAGGGGAGCAAACGGG